GACGAACGCUGGCGGCGUGCUUAACACAUGCAAGUCGAACGGUGAAGCGCCUUCCUUGUUGGUGGGUGGGGAGGAGUGGCGAACGGGUGAGUAACACGUGAGUAACCUGCCCCCUCCUUCUGGAUAACCGCAAGAAAGUGCUGCUAAUACGGGAUAUACUGGGCCUGUCGCAUGAUGGGUCUGGGAAAGAUAUGGUGUCGGUGGGGGAUGGGGCCGCGGCCUAUCAGCUUGUUGGUGGGGUGAGGGCCUACCAAGGCGGUGACGGGUAGCCGGCCUGAGAGGGUCGGCCGUCACACUGCGGCUGAGCCGCCGACCCGCCUCCUGCGGGAGGCAGCAGUGGGGAUUAUGGCACGAUGGGCGCAAGCAUGGUGCAGCGCCGCCGCGUGAGUGAUGGAGGCCUGCGGGUUGUGAACUUCUUUCGCCAGUGAAGCAGGCCUGCCUCGUUUGUGGGUGGGUUGACGGUAGCUGGAUAAGAAGCGCCGGCUAACUACGUG
Molecule: ribosomal RNA, 494 nt
Filed under: uncultured bacterium
Lineage: Bacteria
Description: partial 16S ribosomal RNA
Rfam family: Bacterial small subunit ribosomal RNA
Source: RNAcentral